AACCUUUACACUGCACGACAGUGCGAUAGGGGGACUCCGAGUGCGAGGGCAUAUAGCCCUCGCUUUUCUGUACCGUAAGGUGGUACAGGAACAAGGACUGGGCAAGACCGGUGCCAGCCGCCGCGGUAAUACCGGCAGUCCGAGUGAUGGCCGAUAUUAUUGGGCCUAAAGCGUCCGUAGCUUGCUGUGUAAGUCCAUUGGGAAAUCGACCAGCUCAACUGGUCGGCGUCCGGUGGAAACUACACAGCUUGGGGCCGAGAGACUCAACGGAUACGUCCGGGGUAGGAGUGAAAUCCUGUAAUCCUGGACGGACCACCAAUGGGGAAACCACGUUGAGAGACCGGACCCGACAGUGAGGGACGAAAGCCAGGGUCUCGAACCGGAUUAGAUACCCGGGUAGUCCUGGCUGUAAACAAUGCUCGCUAGGUGUGGCACAGGCUACGAGCCUGUGCUGUGCCGUAGGGAAGCCGUGAAGCGAGCCGCCUGGGAAGUACGUCUGCAAGGAUGAAACUUAA
This 515-nucleotide ribosomal RNA is filed under the name uncultured archaeon. RNAcentral describes it as "bacterial SSU rRNA". It matches the Rfam family "Archaeal small subunit ribosomal RNA", at positions 345 to 859 of the family's 1478-position model. The record is from RNAcentral.